UGGGGAAUAUUGGACAAUGGGCGCAAGCCUGAUCCAGCAAUGCCGCGUGUGUGAAGAAGGCCUUCGGGUUGUAAAGCACUUUUAUCGGGAGCGAAAUACCAUUGGUUAAUAACCGGUGGGGCUGACGGUACCCGAGGAAUAAGCACCGGCUAACUUCGUGCCAGCAGCCGCGGUAAUACGAAGGGUGCAAGCGUUAAUCGGAAUUACUGGGCGUAAAGGGUGCGUAGGCGGUUGGUUAAGUCUGUCGUGAAAUCCCCGGGCUCAACCUGGGAAUGGCGAUGGAUACUGGCAAGCUAGAGUGUGUCAGAGGAUGGUGGAAUUUCCGGUGUAGCGGUGAAAUGCGUAGAGAUCGGAAGGAACAUCAGUGGCGAAGGCGGCCAUCUGGGACAACACUGACGCUGAAGCACGAAAGCGUGGGGAGCAAACA
This 427-nucleotide ribosomal RNA is filed under the name uncultured prokaryote. RNAcentral's name for it is "bacterial SSU rRNA". It matches the Rfam family "Bacterial small subunit ribosomal RNA", at positions 355 to 774 of the family's 1533-position model. The record is from RNAcentral.